Long non-coding RNA from Setaria italica (foxtail millet), 1109 nucleotides. RefSeq lists it as uncharacterized. The transcript has 2 exons. The record is from RefSeq and is a predicted model, not a curated record. Lineage: Eukaryota; Viridiplantae; Streptophyta; Magnoliopsida; Poales; Poaceae.
CAGCAUGCAUGUUCCAUGUUCCUGCUCUAUUUCAUAGUGCAACAGCAUGUGUAAUAUGGCUGUGCAUGAGCUAGCCAAGAUCAGGUUAGUAAUUGGGAUAGUUGUGCACCAGCAGCAGCUGACCUGAAUCUUUCAAAUAUAGCGACGUGCACUGUAAGUCUGUAAGGCUACUUGACUCCACAUAGCUGAGUGAUCCACUCUAUGUAGGAGCUUCCUGUUAUUGCAGGUGUCUUUGACUCUACAUAUGUUUUAUCUGCUUAGAAGCUUUUGUGUGGCCUGGACAUUGGUUACAGGAGUAUUUUAACCCUGUACCAGGGAAACUGAUAGGAUUGAUUCGUUUGGGAAAAGAAUAAAAGCUUCUAGGGUGGCGAUUGCACCCUACUGCAGGAAUUUUCACAAUAUAUUUUUUAUCAAAUGAGAUGAAAAUUGGAUCAUUUUAUCCAAACAAGACUAUGCUUAGGAUCUUGCUCCUUCAGAGUAAUAUUCAAAUAUGACAAACUGUUCCUUUAUGUGAUUAAUCACAAAAAGUCACAUACAGAAGCGCAGGUUGAAUAUAAAAAACACAUGAUAUUAGGAGUUGGAUAGUUGUAUCUAUGAAUAAAUCGACUGUUAGCCCGUUGCAGGCUUGCAGCUAUGUUCCCAUCCGGCACGAGCUAGAGCGGUGAAUGUGUACCUUUUGGUAUGAAUAACUAGCUUAUACUCAUACAUGCCAUCUCACCUGUGUUUGUUUGAUUCUUGGGUGGAUGCAGCAAUGGCCAAUAGAGCCAAGGAAUCUCAAAGAUUGGCGGCAAACGGGUGCGGAGAAGGGAUAGAUCAGGUCGAAGCUAGAGUUCAAGCUGUGAGUGGGGCCAUGAGACACCAGAAGCUCCAGAGGCGGUGUUGAUGGCGUCUGCUCUAUUGCUGGUAUUGGCCUUGGACUACUUGCUAUUGCAGAUGAUGUUUGUGAGAACAAUGAGAUCAUUGACCAUGUACCCUGGGGUUGUUAGCGUUGGUCUGGCUAUGGCAAUGUGUUAACACAAGUGCUUUCAGUUUAUGGCAAGUAAAACUAAGUCUUUGAUAACAGCUUGUCAGUGUUUAUCUAUUAAUAUUUAUGUUGGUUGAUGUGGAUU